This 440-nucleotide ribosomal RNA is filed under the name uncultured Phyllobacteriaceae bacterium. Its description in RNAcentral is "bacterial SSU rRNA". It matches the Rfam family "Bacterial small subunit ribosomal RNA", at positions 338 to 795 of the family's 1533-position model. The record is from RNAcentral. Lineage: Bacteria; Pseudomonadati; Pseudomonadota; Alphaproteobacteria; Hyphomicrobiales; Phyllobacteriaceae.
CCUACGGGCGGCUGCAGUGGGGAAUAUUGGACAAUGGGCGCAAGCCUGAUCCAGCCAUGCCGCGUGAGUGAUGAAGGCCCUAGGGUUGUAAAGCUCUUUCAGCGGUGAAGAUAAUGACGGUAACCGUAGAAGAAGCCCCGGCUAACUUCGUGCCAGCAGCCGCGGUAAUACGAAGGGGGCUAGCGUUGUUCGGAAUUACUGGGCGUAAAGCGCACGUAGGCGGAUUGUUAAGUGAGGGGUGAAAUCCCAGGGCUCAACCCUGGAACUGCCUUUCAUACUGGCAAUCUCGAGUCCGAGAGAGGUGAGUGGAAUUCCGAGUGUAGAGGUGAAAUUCGUAGAUAUUCGGAGGAACACCAGUGGCGAAGGCGGCUCACUGGCCCGGUACUGACGCUGAGGUGCGAAAGCGUGGGGAGCAAACAGGCUUAGAUACCCCGGUAGUC